This 119-nucleotide ribosomal RNA is filed under the name Mus spretus (western wild mouse). Lineage: Eukaryota; Metazoa; Chordata; Mammalia; Rodentia; Muridae. The record is from RNAcentral.
GUCUAUGGCCAUACCACCCUGAACAUGCCUGAUCUCAUCUGAUCUCGAAAGCUAAGCAGGGUCGGGCCUUGUUAGUACUUGGAUGGGAGACCGCCUGAGAAUACCAGAUUCUCUGGGCU